GACGAACGCUGGCGGCGUGCUUAACACAUGCAAGUCGAACGGUGAACCUCUUCGGAGGGGCUCAGUGGCGAACGGGUGAGUAACACGUGGGCAACCUGCCCCCGGCUCUGGGAUAACUCCAAGAAAUUGGGGCUAAUACCCGAUGUUCACCGCUUCUCGCAUGGGUGGUGGUGCAAAGGGUUUCCGGCUGGGGAUGGGCCCGUGGCGUAUCAGCUUGUUGGCGGGGUAGGGGUGUACGAAGGCGACGACGGGUAGCCGGCCUGCGAGGGUGACCGGCCACAAGGGGACUGAGACAGGGCCCAGACUCCUACGGGAGGCAGCGGUGGGGAGUAUUGCGCAAUGGGCGGAAGCGUGACGCAGCGACGCCGCGUGGGGGAUGACGGCCUUCGGGUUAUAAACCUCUGUCAGCAGGGACGAAGCGCAAGUGACGGUACCUGCAGAAGAAGCACCGGCCAACUACGUG
Molecule: ribosomal RNA, 463 nt
Filed under: uncultured bacterium
Lineage: Bacteria
Description: partial 16S ribosomal RNA
Rfam family: Bacterial small subunit ribosomal RNA
Source: RNAcentral